AGAAAUGCCUCCGUGAGAUCCAACUGUAAGGCAUUUUCUCAAUUAGUGAUAAAGGGAGAAAGGCCCCUUGUGGGUGGGACCAUCUCUGGGCUGGUAGUCUUC
Molecule: microRNA precursor, 102 nt
Filed under: Mus spretus (western wild mouse)
Lineage: Eukaryota; Metazoa; Chordata; Mammalia; Rodentia; Muridae
Description: predicted gene, 56328 (ENSMSPG00010012704.1)
Source: RNAcentral